Eptesicus fuscus (big brown bat) is the source of this 324-nucleotide long non-coding RNA. RefSeq lists it as uncharacterized. The transcript is spliced from 4 exons. The record is from RefSeq and is a predicted model, not a curated record. NCBI's taxonomy places the organism in Eukaryota, Metazoa, Chordata, Mammalia, Chiroptera, Vespertilionidae.
AAAACCCUUCAACCUGCCACGGCCCCUCCUCCUCGGCUGAGAACUGGCAUGCCUAUGCUGCUACUACGACAGCAAAACAGAGAAAGAAAAAUUGGAUCACAGUUUGUUUCCUGAGGACCAUUCCAGCAGGACUUUGAGGACGUGCUGUUAAAAUCUUCCAUCAGGUGUCCAGGCCCUGCCCUGGGAUCUGACUGUUACAUCUGGAGAGGGGCCGGGGAAUCUGAUUUCUAACAAGGAGACUUCUUAUUGAUGAGCAAAGAUUUGGGGAGGCAUGGAAGAACAUGAGAGAAGGGAAAAGAAAGCAUGGAGAGAAGACCUGUCCUU